RNAcentral lists this transfer RNA (72 nucleotides) under Mus musculus (house mouse). It matches the Rfam family "tRNA". Rfam says of the family: Transfer RNA (tRNA) molecules are approximately 80 nucleotides in length. The record is from Rfam by way of RNAcentral. Lineage: Eukaryota; Metazoa; Chordata; Mammalia; Rodentia; Muridae. RNAcentral also lists the same sequence under 1 other name.
GGCUAUAUAGCUCAGAAGCAGAGCACAUGUGUGUUAUGCAUAAGGCCUUGGGUUCAAUCCCAAUAAUAUUCA